CUCCUACUGGAGGCAGCAGUGAGGAAUAUUGGUCAAUGGACGAGAGUCUGAACCAGCCAAGUAGCGUGAAGGAUGACUGCCCUAUGGGUUGUAAACUUCUUUUAUACGGGAAUAAAGUUAGCCACGUGUGGUUUUUUGCAUGUACCGUAUGAAUAAGGAUCGGCUAACUCCGUGCCAGCAGCCGCGGUAAUACGGAGGAUCCGAGCGUUAUCCGGAUUUAUUGGGUUUAAAGGGAGCGUAGGCGGGGUAUUAAGUCAGUUGUGAAAGUUUGCGGCUCAACCGUAAAAUUGCAGUUGAUACUGGUAUCCUUGAGUGCAGCAGAGGUGGGCGGAAUUCGUGGUGUAGCGGUGAAAUGCUUAGAUAUCACGAAGAACUCCGAUUGCGAAGGCAGCUCACUGGAGUGUAACUGACGCUGAUGCUCGAAAGUGUGGGUAUCAAACAGGAUUAGAUACCCUGGUAGUCCACACAGUAAACGAUGAAUACUCGCUGUUGGCGAUACAAUGUCAGCGGCCAAGCGAAAGCAUUAAGUAUUCCACCUGGGGAGUACGCCGGCAACGGUGAAACUCAAAGGAAUUGACGGGGGCCCGCACAAGCGGAGGAACAUGUGGUUUAAUUCGAUGAUACGCGAGGAACCUUACCCGGGCUUAAAUUGCAGACGAAUUACCUGGAAACAGGUAAGCCGCAAGGCGUCUGUGAAGGUGCUGCAUGGUUGUCGUCAGCUCGUGCCGUGAGGUGUCGGCUUAAGUGCCAUAACGAGCGCAACCCUCGUGGUCAGUUACUAACAGGUCAAGCUGAGGACUCUGGCCAGACUGCCAUCGUAAGAUGCGAGGAAGGUGGGGAUGACGUCAAAUCAGCACGGCCCUUACGUCCGGGGCUACACACGUGUUACAAUGGGAGGUAUAGAAGGCAGCUACCCGGCGACGGGAUGCCAAUCUCCAAAACCUCUCUCAGUUCGGACUGGAGUCUGCAACCCGACUCCACGAAGCUGGAUUCGCUAGUAAUCGCGCAUCAGCCACGGCGCGGUGAAUACGUUCCCGGGCCUUGUACACACCGC
RNAcentral lists this ribosomal RNA (1054 nucleotides) under uncultured bacterium. RNAcentral describes it as "bacterial SSU rRNA". It matches the Rfam family "Bacterial small subunit ribosomal RNA", at positions 336 to 1393 of the family's 1533-position model. The record is from RNAcentral.